AUUGAACGCUGGCGGCAUGCUUUACACAUGCAAGUCGAACGGUAACAGGGUGCUUGCACCGCUGACGAGUGGCGAACGGGUGAGUAAUGCGUCGGAACGUGCCGAGUAGUGGGGGAUAACGCAGCGAAAGUUGUGCUAAUACCGCAUACGUACUGAGGUAGAAAGUGGGGGACCUUCGGGCCUCACGCUAUUCGAGCGGCCGACGUCUGAUUAGCUAGUAGGGGGGGUAAAGGCUCACCUAGGCGACGAUCAGUAGCGGGUCUGAGGGGAUGAUCCGCCACACUGGGACUGAGACACGGCCCAGACUCCUACGGGAGGCAGCAGUGGGGAAUUUUGGACAAUGGGCGAAAGCCUGAUCCAGCCAUGCCGCGUGUCUGAAGAAGGCCUUCGGGUUGUAAAGGACUUUUGUCGGGGAGGAAAUCCCCAGCGUUAAUACCGCUGGGGGAUGACAGUACCUGAAGAAUAAGCACCGGCUAACUACGUGCCAGCCGCCGCGGUAA
RNAcentral lists this ribosomal RNA (500 nucleotides) under uncultured bacterium. Its description in RNAcentral is "partial 16S ribosomal RNA". It matches the Rfam family "Bacterial small subunit ribosomal RNA", at positions 30 to 523 of the family's 1533-position model. The record is from RNAcentral.